Long non-coding RNA from Heterocephalus glaber (naked mole-rat), 2053 nucleotides. Lineage: Eukaryota; Metazoa; Chordata; Mammalia; Rodentia; Bathyergidae. The record is from Ensembl.
CAUUGACCCAGUGGUCCGAGUGGAGGUAUUUUUUUGUCCUUGCAGAGAUGUACAAGAAAGAUGAGAAAGUAUGUAGAUCUCACAGCUACAUCCUGAUACAUAUAUUUUUAAUACUGUGGAUGUGAAUAAAUUCUUCUGAGGCUAUCAGUGACCAAUAUUUUAGCACUGGCAACUGAGCUCUGCAGUUAAAUCACAUAAAGUUAUACUCAAUCAGUACAGAUCAAAAUAUUUGGUUAAUUAUCUACCUAAGUUCACUUUAAACCCUUUCAGAUAAAAACCAAUUCAUUCUUUUGAGAAAGCACAGGAAUGUGAAAAGAUGGUUAUCAAGGGCUUUCCUGUUACAGGCUGCUUGCCUGUUGCAGAGGGGUGGGAUGAGAAGAACAGAUGUGGACCCAGAGUGGCUCACUGCUGCUUCCUGUGACUCCAUUUUCCAUGACUCUUCAGCCUUUUCAAGGGCCAUGAGGUUAAGCCGACUGUAGCUUUGACCUUCUUUGUCAGGUUGUCAGAACAAGAACCUUCAUUAUAAAGAAUUGCACUUAUGGGAUAGAGGGCCAAAAAUCCUGGCUUCCCAACCACAGAGAUCACUUGAAUGGCAUCCAUUUCUCAACUGCACUGAAGUCAUAGCCAGUUAUUGAAAUCAAACUUCAUGAAGACCAUGACCUUUCACUCUUGUCAGAGGGAUCGAACUCGGGAUCUUGCGCUUGCGAGGCACACGGCAGAACCACUGAGCUAAAUCCCUGGCCCUGGCUUUAUCUUUUUCUCUAGAGAAACAUGUAUUUGGAAUGUGGAUGUGACUCACAGUAGCUGUGCCUGGAGAAAGCAAAAAUUCAUAUGUGCAUUCACUCACUUCACAGACCUACAGCAAGGUGUGUACAGGAGCUCCAAAGUAGCUAUAGAAGUAGCCUGAUUCAGUACAAUUGCAUAUGAAAAACCAGAUUUGGAAGUUUUGGAGGAGGUCAAAAGUAUGGAUGAUGAAUAUGAUGAUGACUUUGAUGUUGGUCAUAUGAACCAAAGUUUCUAUGACAAUGAAAUGGAGGAAAAUCAACCAAUACAGACACAGGGAAUGCAGAUAUCCUUGAUUCAGAUGAUGAAGAGAGCAGCAAUAACACAAAUUGACCAGCAUAGAAAUUGAAUGCAGGAACAAAACAGACAUUCCAAAUGAAAUGUUGCAAUUUCAAAACAGAGAAUCAAUCAUUGGAUUUCAGAAAGACAUAACACUGGCCUUGUAUAUGGCAAAGAAAACAAACUGGUUCUGCUCAUGUCAAUAUUGCACCAUGAUGGAAAUAUUUAUAGGAAAACCUUGACAAAAUGAAAGCCUGAGAUGUGAACUUUCUACAACAAAACCAAAAGUGGAGUAGAUGUUGUUGAUGACUUAUUUGGCAACUAUAAUGUCACUUGAAACACAAAGCAUUGGCCAAUGGUGGUGUUUUACUUGAUCUUAAAUGUGUGUGGCAUAAAUAACUUGAUACUUUAUAAAGAAAAUAACAAGUGCAAAAUACCACAGAGAAAUUUUCUUAGAGGAUUGGGACUGGAAUUCAGAAGAGAUCAUUUACAGCAGAGGAAAAACAAAAUAUUUCUGCCCAAGGAGACUAUGCAAAAAAAUUUGUGGAGCACAUUCGUUAGCUGACAGGUAAAUGGGCAGGUGCAGCAUCACAAAGACCUACUAUGACAAUAUGAAAACCAAAAGGAUAUCAACUGUGCCCUACAAAAACGGACAGGAAAACAAAACAUACAUGCUACCUGUAAGCGAUACUUGUGUAUAGCACACAGAGUUUUCAUGUGUGAAGAUUGCCUUGGGUGUAACAUUUGAAGCAAAGAUUAUUUCUGUGGUAGACUUUUAUUUGUAUUUACAUUGUAUUUCACAUAGGUUUUUAUUUUUAGUGUUAUCUUUUAAGUUUUGUAAGCAAGUAAACAGCUAAUGUGAAAUGUUGAUGUCUAGUCUAAACACUCAUGAUAUAUUUGAUGUUUUAUUUUAUUUUCUUGCUAAGUGCAUGUUGUACAAUAUAGUAAGAAGCUCCUAACAAAAGAGGAAGACAAGAGCAGCGACAAGAAU